Molecule: ribosomal RNA, 842 nt
Filed under: Actinomycetes bacterium
Lineage: Bacteria; Bacillati; Actinomycetota; Actinomycetes
Description: bacterial SSU rRNA
Rfam family: Bacterial small subunit ribosomal RNA
Source: RNAcentral
GGGCGUAAAGAGCUCGUAGGGCGGUCUGUCGCGUCUGCUGUGAAAUUCCGAGGCUCAACCUCGGGCUUGCAGUGGGUACGGGCAGACUAGAGUGCGGUAGGGGAGAUUGGAAUUCCUGGUGUAGCGGUGGAAUGCGCAGAUAUCAGGAGGAACACCGAUGGCGAAGGCAGAUCUCUGGGCCGUUACUGACGCUGAGGAGCGAAAGGGUGGGGAGCAAACAGGCUUAGAUACCCUGGUAGUCCACCCCGUAAACGUUGGGAACUAGUUGUGGGGUCCUUUCCACGGAUUCCGUGACGUAGCUAACGCAUUAAGUUCCCCGCCUGGGGAGUACGGCCGCAAGGCUAAAACUCAAAGGAAUUGACGGGGACCCGCACAAGCGGCGGAGCAUGCGGAUUAAUUCGAUGCAACGCGAAGAACCUUACCAAGGCUUGACAUACACCAGAACGGGCCAGAAAUGGUCAACUCUUUGGACACUGGUGAACAGGUGGUGCAUGGUUGUCGUCAGCUCGUGUCGUGAGAUGUUGGGUUAAGUCCCGCAACGAGCGCAACCCUCGUUCUAUGUUGCCAGCACGUUAUGGUGGGAACUCAUGGGAUACUGCCGGGGUCAACUCGGAGGAAGGUGGGGAUGACGUCAAAUCAUCAUGCCCCUUAUGUCUUGGGCUUCACGCAUGCUACAAUGGCCGGUACAAUGGGCUGCGAUACCGCGAGGUGGAGCGAAUCCCAAAAAGCCGGUCCCAGUUCGGAUUGAGGUCUGCAACUCGACCUCAUGAAGUCGGAGUCGCUAGUAAUCGCAGAUCAGCAACGCUGCGGUGAAUACGUUCCCGGGUCUUGUACACACCGCC